Molecule: ribosomal RNA, 464 nt
Filed under: Vreelandella stevensii
Lineage: Bacteria; Pseudomonadati; Pseudomonadota; Gammaproteobacteria; Oceanospirillales; Halomonadaceae
Description: partial 16S ribosomal RNA
Rfam family: Bacterial small subunit ribosomal RNA
Source: RNAcentral
CUACGGGAGGCUGCAGUGGGGAAUAUUGGACAAUGGGCGAAAGCCUGAUCCAGCCAUGCCGCGUGUGUGAAGAAGGCCUUCGGGUUGUAAAGCACUUUCAGUGGGGAAGAAAGCCUUGGGGCUAAUACCCUCGAGGAAGGACAUCACCCACAGAAGAAGCACCGGCUAACUCCGUGCCAGCAGCCGCGGUAAUACGGAGGGUGCGAGCGUUAAUCGGAAUUACUGGGCGUAAAGCGCGCGUAGGCGGUCUGAUAAGCCGGUUGUGAAAGCCCCGGGCUCAACCUGGGAACGGCAUCCGGAACUGUCAGGCUAGAGUGCAGGAGAGGAAGGUAGAAUUCCCGGUGUAGCGGUGAAAUGCGUAGAGAUCGGGAGGAAUACCAGUGGCGAAGGCGGCCUUCUGGACUGACACUGACGCUGAGGUGCGAAAGCGUGGGUAGCAAACAGGAUUAGAUACCCUUGUAGUC